RNAcentral lists this ribosomal RNA (253 nucleotides) under uncultured bacterium. Its description in RNAcentral is "partial 16S ribosomal RNA". It matches the Rfam family "Bacterial small subunit ribosomal RNA", at positions 524 to 776 of the family's 1533-position model. The record is from RNAcentral.
UACGGGGGGGGUAAGCGUUGUUCGGAAUUACUGGGCGUAAAGGGCUCGUAGGCGGCCAACUAAGUCAGACGUGAAAUCCCUCGGCUUAACCGGGGAACUGCGUCUGAUACUGGAUGGCUUGAGUUCGGGAGAGGGAUGCGGAAUUCCAGGUGUAGCGGUGAAAUGCGUAGAUAUCUGGAGGAACACCGGUGGCGAAGGCGGCAUCCUGGACCGACACUGACGCUGAGGAGCGAAAGCCAGGGGAGCAAACGGG